GUUUAUAAUAAUUUGGAAAAAAAUUAAUUUAUUAGAGAUAAACUAAAAUUAACCCUUUUAAAAUAGAUUGGGUGGUAGGUUACGGUGCACAUGUUUGGUCAGGAUGAAUCGAAGUGGAGGACAAACGCAAAUUGAUUAGGCUUAAUGUAUGUAGGUAAUCAGAAUCGUGAUUGAACUGUUGAAUCCAAGGCUAAUCUAAUAUAGUCUUAGAUAUUGCCACAUUGGACUGUUCACACAUGGAAGGUUUGGAUUUGGAUUAAACAAUGUCAUGUGUAACGAAUGAGUAUUGUUGAGUUGUGUCCCACAUUGGCUAGUAAAGGGGAGAUGCUUGGGUUUAUAAGGUGGUAGGUCACUCCACCUAAAAGGCUAGUCUUUUGAGUUGGAUACCUAGAAAUCUUAUGCUAAGUCCCCCCAACAAGUGGUAUCAGAGCUAGACCCUAGUAGCCGGAAUGUGGUGGUGGAACAACUCAUGUGUGUCGGACGAAAGGACCGGAGUCCGGCGGUGGUUUCGUCCGAGGGGGAGAUUGUUGAGUUGUGUCCCACAUUGGCUAGUAAAGGGGAGAUGCUUGGGUUUAUAAGGUGGUAGGUCACUCCACCUAAAAGGCUAGUCUUUUGGGUUGGAUACCUAGAAAUCUUAUGCUAAGUCCCCCCAACAAGUAUGAACCAGAGACUUUCUCCAGCUGGACACGUACCGUGAUGCAUACACAUGAACUUGUCGGAGCCAUGCAAACGUGUUUAGAAAAUGUUUUCAUCGUGAUUUUAACUUGAUUUAGCUCUAUCCUCCGCCAGCGGCCGACCGAUUAAAGAUUUUCUCCUUAUUUAUUUAUUUAUUUUUUGAGUUUUUAAAAAUUCUGAGUCACGUGUCUUUUCGUAUUAAUGUACCAAUAGAAUUUUUUUUCUUUAUUUAUUAACCAAAAAAUUUA
RNAcentral lists this long non-coding RNA (923 nucleotides) under Citrus x clementina. RNAcentral describes it as "Citrus clementina (C. clementina) long non-coding RNA (CCLE_LNC001168)". Lineage: Eukaryota; Viridiplantae; Streptophyta; Magnoliopsida; Sapindales; Rutaceae. The record is from RNAcentral.